RNAcentral lists this long non-coding RNA (350 nucleotides) under Gossypium barbadense (sea-island cotton). RNAcentral's name for it is "long non-coding RNA (GBAR_LNC006454)". Lineage: Eukaryota; Viridiplantae; Streptophyta; Magnoliopsida; Malvales; Malvaceae. The record is from RNAcentral.
GACGAGGAAUAGUUGAGUUAUCGAAAAUAGGAUGAAAUAAGGCUAAAGAUGCGAAAGCUUUCAAAUGGUUUUAAAGGUUGGCUAAGGUGAUGGUAAAUUUAUAAGGGUAGUAGGCUCGAUUUAAGGAUAAAAAUAAGAAAAAUGGAAGUUGAUAAAUGAAGGCUCGGUUUUGUAAAAAGAUAUUAUAGUUGGGUAAAAUCUAGGAUAGUCGGUGGAAUGGAUAAAUGAGCUUAAACGCCAGAAACGAUUCAACACUAAAAAGUGUCACCCCGAUUUCUAUUCGGUUCAAGGUGGGAUUGCGGAAUUGUAGAAGGGUUGAACGCCACACCAAAGCAAGGUGAUAAGUUCAA